Gossypium raimondii (Peruvian cotton) is the source of this 890-nucleotide long non-coding RNA. RefSeq lists it as uncharacterized. The transcript is spliced from 2 exons. The record is from RefSeq and is a predicted model, not a curated record. Lineage: Eukaryota; Viridiplantae; Streptophyta; Magnoliopsida; Malvales; Malvaceae.
AGUUGGCUUCCAUAAAACAAAUUAGGAGGUGAACCUACCAUGUGUUCCACAAUCCCAUCAUCGGGAAACAACAAAAACAAAAAAAAUUAAAGCCUAAAUAAAUAAAACGGAAAGGAAAGGAAAAACUUAAACAAGAAAGAAUUGAAAUGUCAUAAAAGAACCUCCUAGAAAAACAAGCCAAGAAACCAACAAACUCUCCAAAACCAGAGAAGAAAAUCAGUAGAAGAACAAAAUCCUAUAAAGAGACAAGCUUUAGUAGAUUAUCGGAGUGAAAGAUGAAGUUUUACGAAAAACCAAAGCAAAAACCUGAUUAGCGUGAAAGACAAUACUUUGACCAAUCCACCGCAGCCACUCUCUCGACCAACUCCGGUGCUUCUUCGAUCCAUAACCAUCCCUCUGAUAAUUGACGUUCCUCCCUUGCCAACACAUGGGCUGCCUCAUUCGCAUCUCUCCUCACAUGGUGAAAGUUUUUUGAUAAUCGAAAGAGAGUCCCCUUCGAUCUAAACAGAAUAGAACCCAAGCUCCCUCACAAACCAAAUCACCUGUUCGCAUGCCCGAGCCUCUGCCAUAAACACAUCUGCAACAUGGGAGUGAGGGUAAGUACAAGCCCCCAUUAUCAAACCCACUUCGUUUCGUAUAAUAAUGCCUAAGAAUGAUCUGUUUUCAUGCACAUUAAAAGAGGGAUCGAAAUUAAUUUUCACAGUGCCCUCCUCUAGUGGCCUCUAGUAAGUAGCCUUAGGUAUACAAACAGAGGAGCUCUCUUGUAAUAACGAUUCUAGUUCUAUUAUUUACCCUAAAAUAAACCUUGAUAUAUCUUAAAUUCAUUGUUUGAUGCCAUUAUGCAUCAAUCAGUUUCUGGCAAACCAAAUAGACCAUAUUGUUAUUGUCAA